Molecule: ribosomal RNA, 284 nt
Filed under: uncultured bacterium
Lineage: Bacteria
Description: partial 16S ribosomal RNA
Rfam family: Bacterial small subunit ribosomal RNA
Source: RNAcentral
AAAACAAUAACGAACGCUGGCGGCAGGCUUAACACAUGCAAGUCGAGCGCCCCGCAAGGGGAGCGGCAGACGGGUGAGUAACGCGUGGGAAUCUACCCAUCUCUACGGAACAACUCCGGGAAACUGGAGCUAAUACCGUAUACGUCCUUUUGGAGAAAGAUUUAUCGGAGAUGGAUGAGCCCGCGUUGGAUUAGCUAGUUGGUGGGGUAAAGGCCUACCAAGGCGACGAUCCAUAGCUGGUCUGAGAGGAUGAUCAGCCACACUGGGACUGAGACACGGCCCAG